AGAGUUUGAUCCUGGCUCAGAACGAACGUUGGCGGCGUGGAUUAGGCAUGCAAGUCGAGCGAGAUUAACCUUUUUCAAUUCUUCGGAAAAGAAGUUGGUUAUGACAGCGGCGAACGGGUGAGUAAUAUAUGGGUAAUUUGCCCCUAAGUUCGGAAUAGCCAUUGGAAACGAUGUGUAAUGCCGGAUGUGAUCAUCUACCGCAUGGUAGAUUGUUUAAAGGCUGGGAAUCUUCGGAUCCAGUCGUUUAGGGAUGAGCCCAUAUCCUAUCAGCUUGUUGGUGAGGUAAUGGCUCACCAAGGCUUACGGGUAGCCGGCCUGAGAGGGUGAUCGGCCACACUGGGACUGAGACACUGCCCAGACUCCUACGGGAGGCUGCAGUCGAGAAUCAUUGACAAUGUACGAAAGUAUGAUCAUGCGACGCCGCGUGGAGGAAGACGGCCUUCGGGUUGUAAACUCCUGUCAGCAGGGAGGAAAGACAGCAGCAUUAAUAGUGUUGUUGUUUGACAGUACCUGCAGAGGAAGUACACGCUAACU
Molecule: ribosomal RNA, 534 nt
Filed under: uncultured bacterium
Lineage: Bacteria
Description: bacterial SSU rRNA
Rfam family: Bacterial small subunit ribosomal RNA
Source: RNAcentral